RNAcentral lists this ribosomal RNA (117 nucleotides) under Photobacterium leiognathi subsp. mandapamensis. RNAcentral describes it as "partial 16S ribosomal RNA". It matches the Rfam family "Bacterial small subunit ribosomal RNA", at positions 1 to 105 of the family's 1533-position model. Lineage: Bacteria; Pseudomonadati; Pseudomonadota; Gammaproteobacteria; Vibrionales; Vibrionaceae. The record is from RNAcentral.
UUUAAUUGAAGAGUUUGAUCAUGGCUCAGAUUGAACGCUGGCGGCAGGCCUAACACAUGCAAGUCGAGCGGCAGCGACAUAACUGAACCUUCGGGGAACGUUAAGGGCGGCGAGCGG